AAUAAACAUUUUUUUGCAGACUGUAAAUCUGUUGCCUUCGGCUUCGGUGGUUCGAAUCCACCUUCCCCCA
This 70-nucleotide transfer RNA is filed under the name Caudoviricetes sp. RNAcentral describes it as "tRNA-OTHER". Lineage: Duplodnaviria; Heunggongvirae; Uroviricota; Caudoviricetes. The record is from RNAcentral.